This 253-nucleotide ribosomal RNA is filed under the name uncultured bacterium. Its description in RNAcentral is "partial 16S ribosomal RNA". It matches the Rfam family "Bacterial small subunit ribosomal RNA", at positions 524 to 776 of the family's 1533-position model. RNAcentral also lists the same sequence under 1 other name. The record is from RNAcentral.
GACAGAGGUGCCGAGCGUUAGGCGGAAUCACUGGGCUUAAAGCGUGUGUAGGCGGGCCCGUAAGUACCUUGUGAAAUCCCACCGCUCAACGGUGGAACUGCUCGGUAUACUGCGGGUCUUGAGCCACCUAGGGGCAGCCGGAACAAGCGGUGGAGCGGUGAAAUGCGUAGAUAUCGCUUGGAACGCCAACGGUGAAAACAGACUGCUGGGGGUGUGCUGACGCUGAGACACGAAAGCCAGGGGAGCGAACGGG